GGUAAAGAGGAAACCUGUUUCAUCCUUCUCUAAGUGGAUCCUGACUUCCCUCCAUGCUCUCAUGUACUCCCACAUAGAGAGAAGUGACUGAUCAAGUUAGUGAAAUUUGGAGGAGGACCUGGACUUCAAAGCUCAGCCUCUUUCUUGCUUUUUCUCUCUGGCACUUGCCUGUCUGAGAGGGUGCAUGCAUUAGUCUGCUCCUCCACGUGGUAAGUCUUAAAGAGUGAGCUUCCCCCACGGGAAGGCCUGUAGUCAUCCAGUGCUACCUGUGGCUGGGUGAACAAGAGUAACUUUCUCUGGGGUUCGGCAUUAAGAAGCCCAUUGUUUCUGGUCACCUAAACCACAUCUUCUGUCUUAGACUUUGUUAGCACUGAAUCAGAUAUUUUAACCUUCACCUUCCUUAAUUUUUUGUUCUCUCAUUUUCCAAUUUAUUUAUAAACUCAAGUGAGAAAAACAAGGGUGAAAUUUGUGGAGCCUCCACAAAUCAUGAGACUGCUGUGGCUUAAUUUUAUAAUUUUAAAAGAGAAACCAAAAGAUCAUAUUUUUGGGGGGGGGUAUGAAAAACUCCUGAUUCUGAAGUGUUGGCAAAGGACUCACAUAUUUUAAAACUUCUGCGUGCCAAAUGAAAUAGUUUAUCUGUAGGCCAGUUUGCACCCGAUGCCACCAGCUUGCAGUUUUACUCUAAACCCUAUGGUUUGGGGUCAGUAUAAGUAUCCAUAUUUCUGUCCCAGCCCCUCGUGAGAAAUCCAGUUGUCAUGUAAAGUGUGGAUUUAUAAUAUCUGAACUACCCAACCAUCCCUCUCUAGCAGCGUCUCCUGGAGGCUAGACCCUAUUCUCUUCACCCUCCUUCUCUUCCCAGCUACAGACUCUAGCUCUUUUUCAAGCUAGCUGUAGCACCCACCAGCACCCAGAAUUACCACUCCUUGGAGAUCUCUGCAGACUUGCCUCAUCUACCAGCUCUGAUCUCUUGGAUAAAUGAUGAUGCACUAUGAAUCCUUAAUCAUAAAGACUUAUGUAACUGGCCAUCACCACUCCUUUUCUGUAGGAGGGAAAAGUCUAAAUAACCCAUAUUCGUCUCCAUCUCCAGAUUGUUCCUCUCUCCCAGCCUACCUCUUACUGGGGUCCCCAAAUGCAAGGUAUUAACAUGGACCCUGUAAAAUUUGGGUAAAUUCUAUUUCUUUUCUUCUCUCUCUUUCCCACUUGCUAUGUGGCCACUGAUAGGAUUUUUUUCCUCUUUCUUUUAUCAAACAGGAAUCACUGAUAUUAAUGUGUUGUAGAUUCCUUGUUUCCAUCUCUUUUGGCCCAUAGUUUAUUCUUGCUUUCCUUCAAGUCACGUGCUCCACUGACCUUCUCUUUCCCUGGAUCUUUAUUCAGCCAGUCUGAGAGCAGCCUCCAGGAAGGGCAGUCUUAAUUAAUUUGGUUUAAUUGUGGGUUAUUUUCCAAAGCUUAGACAAAUCAGUACGACAACAUCUCAACCUCCCCUGGGACCACCCAUUUAGUCUUUGACCCAGCUUCUUUGACUUUUUUCCAGCCAUCUGUUUUCCUUGGGUAAAGAGAGUCAGUUUUAAUGUCUACAUGUUUUUUCUUUCAUCUGCGUUUUUGGCACCUCUAGUUCAUUCGCAGUUAACUCCAGAAGGGAAACAUUUACCAUCCCUCAGCAGCUGUUCAGUCCUGGAGGAGGAAGUGGAGAGUCUUGUUUCUCUUCCACUGGCCUGUUCUCCCUUAUCCUGGCUAUAGCUAUUCCAUCAUCCUCACACUCCAGCCUGCUUGACACCUGGGUGCAUUGAUUUGUGCCUUGGAAUAAGAACAAUAGCUUCGGAGCUCAACUCUUGUUGAUUCAUCUCAUAAUGUAUAAGGAUUCUGAAUCCCAGUAUAUGGUCCAAGACUCAGAGUACAGAGGUUGGAAUUCCACCUUUGACUCCACCAGUCAUCAUAUAAACCACCUCAUCAAGUUGGACCUCACUUUCUGCAUCUGUGAGAUGAGAGAACCAAUCUGUAACAGAGAUCCUGAAUUCAAAUGUCUUUAGAUUUAUACAGAAAAAAGGAAAGCAGAAGCUGCUAACCAGAGAAACUCUGCUCUGAUGAAGCUGGGCAUGACAGGGGCUUAAAACUGGGAAGACAUGCCCUACCUAAAGAUGUUGCUGGCUCAGCUAAGUCUAUCUGCAAGCUCCUUGGCUGAAGAUUAACUUCGGCUGACCAUUUGUGAGUACAGUACCUUAAGACCUGACAUACUGUAAACCCUAAGGCUCCCAUGUUACAAGUGCUUUCUUCUGAAUUAUUUGCCAUUAAAUAAUAUUUAAAAUAGAAUAUUAGAUGUAAUGUGAUGAAAGAUUUGAUAUAAUUUUAAUAAUCACACUAGCCAGCUCUUUGCUCAUAGUUGGAGAUAACACCAUAGUAUGGAGCUGAUUUACUAGUGUGGAGCCAUCACUGGAGUGGGAGCAGAUAUGCAUUGCAAAAAGGGUGUAGCACAAAUUUUGUGGCCUGAGAAAAUAUAAACUCUCAAAAUACUGUUUGCUUAUACAGAGCUGGAAUUUGGAGAAGGCUGGAUAAAAUGUGCAAAGAUGACAAUGACUUCAAGGAAGAUGGAUAUGAGCAUCCCCUAUAUCUUGAUUUUCCCAUUAUUAGAAAUUCCCUGAUGGUUUGGAAUGGGCUUAGCUGCCUGAAUAAGUGCAAAGAAGCAUACGGAGUCUUAUCUGUACACUUUGUCUCAAACAUGGGCCCAAAAGUUCUUGGAAGAGGGCCAGUUAUAGCACAAUAUGCUGAAGUUGUAGCCAUAUUGACAUGGAGGUAUGCUUGGAGGCCAGUGGCUAAGGAAGUAUAUAUGAAUAAAGAUUAAUACAAAGCCAAAUCUCAAGAAUUGUAUGGCUAGUAUAGGAAUCUACACCAGUGAUGUUAUCACAAAUAUUUGUAAGGUCAUGCUGGACAGACUUCAGUAGAGACAUGUAAUGGCAGCAGUAACGGUGGUGGACUGCUCUCACUCUCCAGUUCUCUCACUACCUUGCAUUUGGAAGGAUAGCUCAUCAGUCACCAUUUAAAAUACAUAAGUCCAGAUGUGCUUGGAAAAUUCAGAGUGGAGAAUGCCUCCAGAGAGGGGGAAAAAACAGAUUUUGUGAUAAUACGAGAAUGUUAGUUCUUAAGCAAAAAUUUUAGAAGCAAAAUAUAUUGUAUCCAUUAGCAAUUGCCACAAUAAUAGUGUAUGACAAGUAAUCAUGGCAUUUCAGUAGCAUUCAGCAAUAAGCAUUCUCUUGGAUUUAUGAGUUCACUAGAGUUUGGCUGAUCUAAGCUGAGCAUAGCCACCUUGCUUCUCAUUGUGAAUCUCUGGGUCAGCUGCAUCAGCUCUGUUCUACUGUCUCUCAUCCUUCUUGGACCAUCAGGAUAGCUGUGGCAUGUUCUUCCAAUGGUGUGGUAGAGGUGCCAGAGAGAAUAUUCAAAUGUACAAGUACAUUUUAAGCCCUUGCUUGUGUCAUGUUUUCUAACAUCCCAUUAGCCAAAGACGUUACAUAGCUAAGCUCAAAGUGAAGGGACAGGAAAGUAUAUUUCUCCAAUAGAGGAACAAAAAGUUAUAUGGCAGAGGCAUGAAGAAUCAAGGCCAAUAAUUGAAUCUACAACAGAUGUGAACAUAUUUUGUAUCCUGAAUGGAGAGGAAAAGGGUUUAUCAGAUAAUUAUAGAUUUGGAUGAGCUUCAAGGAUUUAUAAGUUGCUUGUAAAAUAAAACACAUUGCAUUUUGCUAUAGUGAUAUGAGGUUGACAAAUAUAUAAAACCUCCUAUGUGUGAUGUGUAUUUAUGUGCAUAUACACACAUGCUCCUAUCAAUUCUAAGUUGAAUUCUGUGGUAGACACUCUAACGGAUCAUCAAAGAUUCAUGCUUUCCCUUUAAUAUUUAGGAUUUUGCUAAAAAGUGGCUGCACACCCAGGAACUAGAUUUUUUCCUAGUCUCCCUUACUUCUAGAUGGUGCCGAGUGACAUUCUUGCCUAUGAAAGGGAAAAGAAGAGGGUUAAUCAAAAGCACAGGUACAUUUGCUCAGGCCAGGUUAAUUAAGACGUGGAUAUCCCUUCUCCACCUGCUUGUCCCCACCUUCCCAGUGGAUGCAGAAGAUUCUGAACCCCUAUCUAACAACUUAGUCUCCAGUUGAAACAACUGUAGGUCUCUGAAUCUUGUGGAAGACCAUGUGCUCACCAGGAAUGCUUACACACUGUUACCAUCAUGAAAAAAUGAACCUCCAUUGGGCUUGUGUUAUCCACUAAAUUGGGGUAAACAUUUCUUACACAAACUAAAAAAGUCAUAUAGAGAAGUUGUGGAAGACCCUCUUCUCACUUGAAAGAAUUUAUAGAGAAGAAUAAAAUAACUGAAGAACACAUUUAUUGCACAUCUACCAUGUACAUGACUCACAGCCUAUACAUUAAACAGUUAAAUGUUUCAGAUCUGUGAUAUGGUCCAAUGAGUUAUAAGACUGGAGUAGAAGGAGAAGCGGAUUCUUCUAUCAUCUGCUACACUGAGCUGUGCAAAUGGUAGAUGAAGAAAAUACCAAAAAUCUUCUAUUUUGACAAGGUGAGACAUACAUGAAAACUACAGAGCCUUGUUAUACAGGUCAGAGACAGAACAAAUCUAGGACCCUUUACAACAGACUAGAAUACAAUAGAAUAGAAUAUGUGAAUGAAUUUAAACAAAGGAAGUGCCCAGUUAUCUCAGGGGCAGUUCAGAUGCAAACAUAUAUUAUAAAAAUUAAGUAAGAGGAGUGAGCAACCAGACCCCUGAGACACUGCCUUAGGGAACCCACUCUUAUUUGAGACACCUCAACCCUAGACAACAGAUAGGGAUGACUGUAGUAUAGAGGGAAAAUUGUGGGUUAUUGGGCUGCUGAGGAAGGUGUUAGGAGGGAGGCAGAUAUUUGCAAAAGAGGAGUGAUGGUGUAAAAAUUUGGUAUAAGCAGUGGUGUUGAUAGCCACAUAUGCUGGGAAGGAACUGGGCUAAAACUACAUCUAUAGCAAGAUAAGAUCUUAAAAUAUUCUUUUUGUGUCUUUCUUUUCUUCCCCACACUUCCUGACUUGUCCAAAAAGUACACUUCAAGGGGAAUUAGCAUUUUUAUAGGAGGAAUGCAAAAAGAAAAUAAGUUAUCCUUUCUUGUUUUUCUUAGCCAAAAUAGAUGAAGUCAAAAGGCAGGGACUAAGUGGGUGGACCCUACAAAUAAAUGAAAGACGUGUGUUUAUGUGUAAAGGGCGUACACGGGCAGGUUCAGGAAAGGUCUGUCUCAGGCUGAGAGUUUGGACUCAAAUAGGAGAAGACUCGGUGUGUUACUUCAUAUAAAUAUUUUUCCAAGAACACAAUGGAAGAAGUAUCUCUGUUUAUUCUUUUGGUAGCAACUUCAAGCUGAGACUGCCAGAGGGAGAGCUGGGGAUUAUCUUCUGUUUUCAACCAAAUAAACAGCUAUCUCAGGCAUUCUGAUGUUAACCAUUGCUUUUAUGCUUUCCCUCCAGAAGAAAACCAGUUUGUAAAUUAAUGAAAUGUUUCUCCACUGAAGCUGACUCAGAGGGUUGCUUGUCUUGAGUUCCCAGGAUUCAGAUGGUUUUAUCAUUUUGCUUGAUGGAUAAGAAAUCAGCCAACUUCGUAAAAAGGGAUGAUGUCAUUCCAGAAACAGUUUAGUAGAGCCAGUCUCAUUUCUCCCUGGUCAUGCCUUUGGCUUGGAAACUGUUUUGGAGCCUUCAACAUAGUGAGGCUGACUGUCAGGAGUGGUCCUCUUCUCUAGUAGCAGUUUAAAUUUUAAAGCAAAUAGUCCAACCCAUUUUGCAAGAAUUGGGAGAUACAGUAGGUUCACCAAAUGCUAAAACGCUGUAUGUGAUAUCCCUUGCUAGGAGAAUUUUCCUUCAUACAUAAUUGUCAUAGGCCAUUUGGUUUCCUUAACACAUAUGCAAAUUAGAUAGAAUAGAGAGUAGCCGUAACCAACUCCAUAUUUCUCUUCAUUCCUUGUAUUAGUUUCCUAUGGUCAUUAUAGCUUAUUGACACUAGCUUAGUGCCUUAAAACACAUAAAUUUAUUAUUUUACAUUCUGAAGGUCAGAAGUCCUAAAUAGGUCUCAUUCAUAUUUAUAAAAAUAGGAGGCAGGCUGGAUUUGCCCUGUGAGCCAUAGUUUGCUAAUUGGAUAAGCUGAUAAAUUAGUGACCAUGUCAUAGUUAUUGUGUUACUUGAGCAAAAAAUAACGUGCACAGAUUGAGGACUUAAUAAAUGUUAUUUUGUUUAAAUGAUCUAAGAUGUCUCCUCUAGAAUAUACCUGGAGUUUGGUACAACCUCUCUGGAGGGCAGUUUGGCAAUUGCUCUUAAAAUUGGAACAAGCAAUUGACUUCUAGGAAUUUAUGGUCCAGCUGUAUUCUGUUGGGUCUUGGAAGAAAUGCAAAGGUUUUAAUUGCACCAUUGUAAUAGCACACAGUUGGGGAUCACCUUUGUUUCUUUCAAUAAGAAAUUGCUUAAGUCUUUUCUUAUGGCUUUAAUGUGAAGACUGUAUAUAUCAUAUCUUUUGGGGAGGGGUUGAAAGGAUAUUGUGUGUAUAUUUCCAUGAACAUUAAAUUUCCUGUGAAGCUGUUCAGUACAUGGUUAGGACUUAACAUCUUUGGGUUAUGACUAGUAAUUGGGAGUGAGGAAUACUUUUACUUUUCAUUUUAUUUUUUUUUUUUGUACUUUCCUCUCAUGUCCAUGUAUCAUUUAU
Molecule: long non-coding RNA, 6697 nt
Filed under: Sus scrofa (pig)
Lineage: Eukaryota; Metazoa; Chordata; Mammalia; Artiodactyla; Suidae
Description: lncRNA (ENSSSCG00000062322.1)
Source: RNAcentral